Molecule: long non-coding RNA, 599 nt
Organism: Lolium rigidum
Lineage: Eukaryota; Viridiplantae; Streptophyta; Magnoliopsida; Poales; Poaceae
Exons: 3
Source: RefSeq, a predicted model, not a curated record
CAAGAUUAAAUUAUGUUAUACUGUACUAUGGUGAUUAUCCCUUAACAAAUUUCAUUACCACAAUAUCUAUGUUCUUCCCAGACUCGGUUUCAGGAAGUUUCUCAGGGUGUUCUCCGUAUGGCUCUCUUGCUAAUGCUUAAGCUCACAUUUGCAGCAAUUUCUUCAGCUUGAUGGGUGCUACUGCUUAAGGGUCUAUUCAGGCUUUGGAUAUGAUAAUAAGUUCCAGAACGUGGCUGCGUAUGUCAGGCUUGCGGUUGUUACAUAUAAUUAUAGUUUUGUCUUCAAAUGUUGCUUUCUAAGGUUAUCAGCGCUCGAAGAAUUGGUAUAACAGAAUUCAGUGUCAAGCUUGCUGCUGUUAUAUUUAGGUUGGAUGGAGCAUCGAGCAUUUCUUCCUUGAGAUGAUUAACAGAUCGUCAUGUGCAUUACUGUCCACAGCUUUACUCUAAAUUGGUUACCCUUUGAGCACUAAAGUGCAUCCUUCAUAUUUUCUCCGAGGUUCGUUUUCUUGGAUAACCAUGUGUAUGUUCUUGGUUAACCAUGGAUCAUAUUUUCUCAUAGUUGGUUCCUCUGUUUACUCAUAAUAGUGUAGCCUUCUAGAU